UCGCUUUCUGCAACCAUCUACGAGGGCUGCAGCCUCCUCUUUGCUCGGGACCUAGCCGUCGAUGCGAACACUAGCUCUUCUUGUUUUCACUCUGCCUCGAUUCCCUUCGUCUCGAAACCCCGGCCUUUUGAAAUAUUCCUCCGAAAGUUUUCACCUUUCGCCUGAUUUCGCUUCGCAGGAUGCUCGAAGUGUGAGGAAGCUGCAAUUUUGGGGAAUGUAUUUUAGGAGGCCAGUAGAGAUGGGGUGGAGCCGCGGAAGAGAAACUGGAUGCAUCUCACCGCCAUGGAAGUAGGGGAUGAAGCUUCUGAGGAGCCAGAGCGAAGCGGAUGGGAUGGGGAUGAACUACACCGCAUCCCCUUUUCGAGCCCCGAAUCAAGAACAUAGGAGGGAGACGAGCGCAUAAAGGAACGGAGGAACUGUCCAUUCUUCAGUAUCAAGAUGCCUAGGAUGUCCAAGAGCAUUCCUCGUAGUGCACUGUUUAAAAUUUAGUUAUCCUUUUAUAAUUUGUAGUUCUUUUACUAAGCAACUUCGCUCGAAUUACUGUUGUUUAAGAUUAUUUCCAAGAGAUUUUGCUGAGAUAUUUGAAGAAUUAAGUCCUUGAGCUCA
This is a non-coding RNA of Elaeis guineensis (African oil palm), 606 nucleotides long. The record is from RefSeq and is a predicted model, not a curated record. NCBI's taxonomy places the organism in Eukaryota, Viridiplantae, Streptophyta, Magnoliopsida, Arecales, Arecaceae.